CCCUGCGCUCCUUGCGGCGGGGAGCGGCGGAGGGCGGCGGCUGCCGGCUCUGCGUCUUACGAAGCGCCUGCGGCCACCGGGUCUGCACCCAGCCGGGGGGAGGAGGAGGGGGAGGAGUAGAAGGAGGAGGAGAAGCAUCACCAUCGGCGAUGCAGCCGUCUCGCGACCCGGGCAGAGGGUCUACUUUCAAGCCUUGGGGUAAUGGGCAUCACUAAAGAAGAUGAGCUUGCCUGUGCAAAGUGCCAGAGUGCUUGAGAGGAGUGAAGGCUGCAGGAUGGGGAACUAUGCGGACUGCUGAAAAGCAACAGAAGAGUGGGUAGAGUAACAAUGCUUUGCCUGACAUCAGAAUCACAGGAUGGCUGAUUUUGGAAGGGUCAUCCAGCCCAACUCUCACUGCACAAGAAGGGCCACCUCAAUUGUUUUGCUCAGGACAGGCAUAUCUGGAUGUUUUUUUAAUAUCUCCAAGGAUGAAGACCACCCCUUUGGACUAACUAUUCCAGUGCUCAGUCACCUUCACAGUUCCCUGAUGAUGUUCAGAGAAAACCUCCCAUGUUCCAGAUUGUUCCAUGUCCAUUGCCUCUGGACCUCCCAGUUGGCACCACUGAAAAAGAGCCUGGCUCUGUCCUCUUUGCACCCUUCCUUCAGUUAAACAUUGAUGAGAUAUGCUCUGAGUCUUCUCUUCUCCAGGCUGAGCAAUCCCAACUCUCCCAGUCUCUCCUCAGAAACACAGGGCUCAGAAGGAACUUAGAGAGACAGAACAAACAAAUGACGAUUAGUGUGAGCAGAAACUGAAGUGGAACUGGGUGAGUGGGUGCAGAGGAGAAGGAUGACUGUCUCUUGCUGAAGUAGGAACUGAAGAAAUGGAAAGUUAAGGACUGUUUUUCCUAACAUUAGUACUCUUCCUGCAUCUUGCCUGUGAGAAGACAACCAUGAAUUUACUGAACAAGGAGAAAGAGGAAAUAAUUAAAACGCAUGCAUGCACACUUGCACCACUCAAGUCAUGCUCCUGCAGUCAUCUUGCU
Long non-coding RNA from Neopelma chrysocephalum (saffron-crested tyrant-manakin), 1022 nucleotides. RefSeq lists it as uncharacterized. The record is from RefSeq and is a predicted model, not a curated record. NCBI's taxonomy places the organism in Eukaryota, Metazoa, Chordata, Aves, Passeriformes, Pipridae. The transcript is spliced from 3 exons.